RNAcentral lists this ribosomal RNA (501 nucleotides) under uncultured bacterium. Its description in RNAcentral is "bacterial SSU rRNA". It matches the Rfam family "Bacterial small subunit ribosomal RNA", at positions 15 to 518 of the family's 1533-position model. The record is from RNAcentral.
GAUCAUGGCUCAGGAUGAACGCUGGCGGCGUGUUAACACAUGCAAGUCGAGCGAGAAGCUCAUGACAGAUACUUCGGUUGAUGGAUUGAGUGGAAAGCGGCGGACGGGUGAGUAACGCGUAGGCAACCUGCCCCGUGCAGAGGGAUAGCCUCGGGAAACCGGGAUUAAAACCUCAUAACGCGCAACCGAGACAUCUCGGAUGCGCCAAAGAUUUAUCGGCACGGGAUGGGCCUGCGUCUGAUUAGUUAGUUGGUGGGGUAACGGCCUACCAAGGCGACGAUCAGUAGCCGACCUGAGAGGGUGAUCGGCCACAUUGGAACUGAGACACGGUCCAAACUCCUACGGGAGGCAGCAGUGGAGAAUCUUGCACAAUGGGCGAAAGCCUGAUGCAGCAACGCCGCGUGAAGGAUGAAGGCCCUUGGGUCGUAAACUUCUGUUCUAAGGGAAGAUAAUGACGGUACCUUAGGAGCAAGUCCCGGCUAACUACGUGCCAGCAGCCGC